This 549-nucleotide ribosomal RNA is filed under the name uncultured bacterium. RNAcentral's name for it is "bacterial SSU rRNA". It matches the Rfam family "Bacterial small subunit ribosomal RNA", at positions 355 to 896 of the family's 1533-position model. The record is from RNAcentral.
UAGGGAAUCUUCGGCAAUGGACGGAAGUCUGACCGAGCAACGCCGCGUGAGUGAAGAAGGUUUUCGGAUCGUAAAGCUCUGUUGUAAGAGAAGAACGAGUGUGAGAGUGGAAAGUUCACACUGUGACGGUAUCUUACCAGAAAGGGACGGCUAACUACGUGCCAGCAGCCGCGGUAAUACGUAGGUCCCGAGCGUUGUCCGGAUUUAUUGGGCGUAAAGCGAGCGCAGGCGGUUAGAUAAGUCUGAAGUUAGAGGCUGUGGCUUAACCAUAGUACGCUUUGGAAACUGUUUAACUUGAGUGCAAGAGGGGAGAGUGGAAUUCCAUGUGUAGCGGCGAAAUGCGUAGAUAUAUGGAGGAACACCGGUGGCGAAAGCGGCUCUCUGGCUUGUAACUGACGCUGAGGCUCGAAAGCGUGGGGAGCAAACAGGAUUAGAUACCCUGGUAGUCCACGCCGUANCGAUGAGUGCUAGGUGUUAGACCCUUUCCGGGGUUUAGUGCCGCAGCUAACGCAUUAAGCACUCCGCCUGGGGAGUACGACCGCAAGGUUG